UGCGCAUGGAAGGGUGAUUGGUAUGUUCCGGUUGGUUGGUUCCCUGCCCUGGCAGCGACAAUCGCUGGUUCGCACCUGUUCAAUUUUGUUCAAGUGUAAACCUUUUACCUUGGAUUGGCUUGGCCCCCUGUGCAGCAUACCUAUUUUGACGGAAUUCUCUAGUCCCAUGAUCCCUUUUCUAUCUCGUGCCAAAAUGUAUUGUGCGAUCUAGACCCUGAAUCUCCCAUGCACGUCCGCCCUUGGCUUGCUUAUUUAGCUAGCAGGCAUUGGACGCCCAUGUGUAGCCCGAAGUCUUGUAUGUAGAAGCAAUGAUCGGUCGGGGAUUGUCCCUUUUUGCCUGAAUCAAUUGUCCCUUACGGAAGCCUGACGUGCCCUGUGUUGACUCGAGGACAUUAAUCGUCCUCUUGCUCAUGCGGUGCCGGCAGCAAAAAGGAAUGCUACCUGGUUGAUCCUGCCAGUAGUCAUAUGCUUGUCUCAAAGAUUAAGCCAUGCUGGGUGUUUAAGUA
RNAcentral lists this unclassified non-coding RNA (506 nucleotides) under Tetrataenium yunnanense. RNAcentral's name for it is "Heracleum yunnanense partial external transcribed spacer". The stretch from base 439 to 506 matches the Rfam family "Eukaryotic small subunit ribosomal RNA", at positions 1 to 65 of the family's 1831-position model. The record is from RNAcentral. Lineage: Eukaryota; Viridiplantae; Streptophyta; Magnoliopsida; Apiales; Apiaceae.